CUCCCUCGGCCUUACUCCAGGGGCUUUUUGCUGUAAGGCUCCUGGCAUUGCCGGAGGGUACAUGAACAAGCACGCAUCCCUCCCCAGGGAGACUCUGCUGUUCUCUGGGGCCUACACGUGGAGCUGACAGU
This is a small nucleolar RNA of Bison bison bison, 131 nucleotides long. Lineage: Eukaryota; Metazoa; Chordata; Mammalia; Artiodactyla; Bovidae. The record is from Ensembl.